UUGUCUCUUUUGUUCACUGAUAUAUCCCAAGUACCUUGGCACCUAGUAGGUACUCAAUAAAUUGUUGUUAACGACAUGAAUGAAGCACAGUUACUACUUACAGGUAAAUUCUGAAAACAAAAAUACUAUUCAUCUCAGUUUUCCUAGCCUUCCCACCCACAAGCAGCAGUGUUUCUCUGCCUCAGCAUGUCGGUUCUCCUGAGCGUCACUUUCCAAGCCCACGGGAGCCCCAGAGCAGCCCUGACCCUGACUUUCCACACAGCUGUUACCACCACAAGGAAUAGGACAUACAAGGUGAAGGGAGGGUUAAGGCAGGGAGUUGGAAGAAACACCAACACCUUUUUCAAACACAAACAUUGGGACAGUGUUUAAGUCUUGCAACUUUCAAUAAAUAAGGGAGGGAAAGAAUAAAAUUGAGAGAUGUUGGGUGCCUUCUCUAGGUAAAGCCAGAUGGCCUUGAUUGGCACCCGGAACUGGAGAGCUGUAGAGGAAUGACUUCUUGCGGAUUAACUGAGCUGUUGGAGAUGUUGAUGGACAUCUUGGCGGUACUGAGUUAUCCACUUCCCUUGUCUCUUCUAUCUCCUCCGAAAGAUAAGCAGUAUCUCCUGAAGACAAGGAACCCUACAAGGCAACUUUCUAGGCUAUUCUAUCUGUACCUCAGAUCAGAGAAAAAGCAAUCCUUAACACAACAGUGAUUGGCUCUUCCCAGGAUCAUGGACCAGAGGUGUAUAUAGGAGAUAAAUGACAACUCUCCCUGAAAUUGAUUUGGGUUGACACCUAGAUCAGGUGCUUUAUUAAAGAGUCGUUUAUUAAAGAGUCAUUGGUCCCAUGUGGUCAGGGGCCAAAUAUAGGCUUUGAAUGCAAGAAUCCAACCUUCCGCAUUGCUGAACACAUCUAGACAGGUACAGGUAUCCAUAGGUAUCCACUUAUCUGGGACAUGUAAGUGGAGAGGCAUGCACCUGAUUCACUCCUGAUCCAGGAAUUGCUGCCGGGCCCGCCCCCAAACAGCAGCAGCAUCACCCGGGCCGGCUAUUAAAGCCGUAGGCAGUGAGAGGAGGCCCUCAGACGUCUGAGAGCUCAGCAGUGCGUGGACACAGCCUCAGCCCACUGAGCAGGAGUCACAGCACGAGGACUAAGUGAAGAGGCGCAGCUGCAGCAGGACCCAGUGAGGAGAGAGGACAUAGAAGGAGGGAUUGGUUCUGACCAGGUAAGAGUACCCUCAGGUGAGUGAUAAGAUAAAUAAGGAAGGGACUCGACUUGGGGGAGAUAGAGACUCGACUUGGGUGAGUUGAGAACUCACACGGGGAAGAGGGGAGAAUGAUAUUUGGGGUAGAGGCAUAAAAUAGAAAAGAAUGGGGACACAGAGGAGAUAGGAUUGGGGAUGUGGAGGGGAUGAGACAUAGACAUAGGGACAUGGGGCCACAAUGGGGAGGGGACUUGAGGGAGAAGAGAUCAAACAAAGAGCAGGAGGCAACAGGGACAGAAUGAAGGGAGUCAGGCUACAAGGCCAGGGCCAUGGGGCCACAGUGGAUGCGCACACAUAGGAGAGGAAGAGAUGAGACACAGAAAGGGCAGGGAGAUGGGUGACCCACUAGAAUGAUCAAGUAUAGGAAAGCUGACUUCUCAACUGAACACCUCCUACUCUCUGUCCCAGUGACCCCAGCCCUCCAUUCUGACUGCUCCCCCCAGAGAGAUGGCACUAGACAGAGCAGAAUUCUGCUCACUGCUGCUGCUCCUACUGCUGGGGCUGUGGGUGGCCGAGACCCCAGUCAGUGCCAAGCCCAGCCACAUGACUCCAUCUCAGUGGUUUAAAACUCAGCAUGUGCAGCCCAAACCUCAAGCAUGCAAGUCAGCAAUGCGCAAUAUCAACAAAUACAAAAAACAUUGCAAAAACCUCAACACCUUCCUGCAUGAAUCCUUCUCCAAUGUGGCGACCACCUGCCAGAGCCCCAAUAUAGCCUGCAAGAAUAAGAACCAUAACAACUGCCACCAGAGUCAUGGGCCCGUGUCCCUGACGCUAUGUGAACUCACCUCAGGGAAGUACCCGAACUGCAGGUACAAAGAGAAGCAUCUGAACAAGGCUUACAUAGUGGCCUGUGACCCUCCCCAGAAAAAGGAAUCUCAGCAAUUCCGGCUGGUUCCUGUGCACUUGGACAAAAUCCUUUAGGUUUCCAGACUGCCUCACUCUUUGGCUGAAGCUGAAUUCUCUCUCCAGGCCUCUGCACCACUCCGCCCCUCCUACACUCAGAGCAUUCUCUUUCUCUCAUCUCUUGCGGCUCUUCCUGGUUCAGCCUCUUCUGGGAGGCUGAAGAGGAACUAAGGCUGACACCUUGGUGGGCUGAGCUCCAGAAGAUAUGGUCUUUCAUCUUUUUGUUGCUGUUUUCCCAUAAGCUUACCCCCCACAGGUGAUCUGAGCAGGACCAGGGGUCUGGACCCCCUGGUCUAUGCCCCUGUACUUCUCUCCCCUGUCCCAGUUUAUCAUUGCAGCAUGACAAGGGAAGGAAACAAAUGGAAAAAGGACACGUGAGAUUUAUGCACAGAGCUGUUCCUGUUCCUAGACUAGAAGUCUUCCCCAGCUCUGACGUGGUAGUGAGGUGACCUGUGUGGAGAGAGGUGGCCAGAGGGAAAGAAGACAAAGAAAUACCACUUCAUGAAGAGAACUUCAUGCUCUUCCUGUGCACUUUCUACUAUACCAGUUGGACAAGAAAGGAGAGAUCACUGCAGGGACAAGCAGAGAACUAGGUGAGAGUUCACGCAUGAAGAAAUGUACCCUGAGAGCUCUGAACAGCCAGUCACCCAGUGCUGGCUGCAAUAAACGUCAUUACCUCUCCAGCCAAGAGACUGUUUUUGAGGUGCCCAGGGAUCUUCAUUCAUUCAUUCUCUCUCUCUUUCUCUCUAACUGCGCCACCCUCCCCUGCUCUAGCCCACUGCUCUUUCGACCUGGGCCCUGGGCCUGGCUCUGGCCAGAUCCCCUUGGCCUGAAGGCAUAAGGUAAAGGGAGUGUCCCAGCUUCAACCCCCUGAUCCAGGAUCACAUUUCCCUUGACCUUAAGGGACUUCCGUGGCUCUGAGCCUACUUGUCACAAACAGGCUGAUGAGAGCUGCCAGAGCUUCCUUCCUCCUGAUGAUAUCUCCCCUGCCUCAGUGCUUCCCUGGCUCUCCACCCUGGCAGUCUGCCCAGGCCUGAGGGGUUGAGAUGUGAAAAUGCCAUCUCCUUGUCCCCCUGGUCUGCGGACGCCAUUACUCCCUCUCUAGUGAGCAGAGCCGGAGAAGGUCUAGCUUUGUAUGGCUAAGUCCUGAAGGCCCCUCCGGCACUGCCUACAGCCCUGACCACCACCCUCCCCUUCUCUCUUUCUUUAUCCUAGUCCCAGAGAAACUGCACUAUGCCCCACGCCUACCCUACUCCAGACAGUCCUUCUGCCCCUGAUGGGGAUUCUAUUCUACCUAUCUCUUCCCACUAACUGUGGUGAACAGAGUCAGAGUAAGCUUUGGAGCCAGUCAGAAUUGGAUACAAAUCCUGGCUCAGUUGUUCCUGGCUAUGGGACCUCAAGCAAGAGGCAGGUCUGUUUCCCCAUAGCAAAAUGGGAGUAAUCUUACCUGACAAACAGGAUUGCAGGAAGAUUUAGAAAUGACAUUUAUGAAGCUCUACUCAGCCCCAGGUACUGUAGCCAUUAGAUAAUGAUAACUAGUCAGUGGUGGUAGCAGUAGUAGCAAUAUCCACCUUUAGAAAACACACACACCAAGGCAAAUGUCCCACUCAAGUCUCCAGUUCUAUUCUGCUGGAGGAAUGUUCAUGCACGGGCUGGGGGACAAGCCUGCAAGCAGAGUCCUGCCAGGGCAGCCGGGUUGUUUGAGAUGAUGAGGGAGAAGGUAGGGAAAAGAUGAUCAAAAGAAAAGGGAGCAGAUCAUUGAGCAAUUCAAACAGAAUGUGGGCCAGUAAGUUGAUGAGUUGGCCAUCAAAGAGGCUUGAAAGUAGAGGAACACUAAAAACAUGUUGUGGCCAAAUGCCAAAUGACUGAGUGUAAAGAUAAGUAUUCCCUGGAAACAGAACAUUGCCAUCAUAGAAUUGACUUCUGGGAUACUCAAAUAAAUCUGACGUUUUAUCCAAAAUCAGAAUGUGUUUGAAACUCCUGUGGUCACUCUACUAUACAAUUACCUUCUAAAUAGAUGAUUUUCAACUGAGGUGCAUAGAAAAGCAAGAUGCUUGGGGACAGCUGAUUUUUCUCUUCACUUUAUUCUUUUUUCACAACUCUUUAUGUUCUUUGUUGGUGAUUUUUCUUAUGGAUAUUAUGGUUUUAGAGACAAUCUCCUCACAAAAUUUGAAGUGGAUAAAAUUAUGCCUUUAAUGCAUCCUCCAGAAUAAGAAUUUCCAAAUAGAACUUUUUCUUGAAAGACUUAACCUAAAUAGCACUAAAUAACUAAAAGUUUCUAAAGUAAUCUGUAGUGAUAAAGGUCAGAAUAGUUG
This is a non-coding RNA of Microcebus murinus (gray mouse lemur), 4464 nucleotides long. The record is from RefSeq and is a predicted model, not a curated record. NCBI's taxonomy places the organism in Eukaryota, Metazoa, Chordata, Mammalia, Primates, Cheirogaleidae.